Molecule: long non-coding RNA, 4705 nt
Organism: Loxodonta africana (African savanna elephant)
Lineage: Eukaryota; Metazoa; Chordata; Mammalia; Proboscidea; Elephantidae
Exons: 3
Source: RefSeq, a predicted model, not a curated record
CCUGGCCCCGCCGCCGCCCGGAUCGCCCGGUCGGACCGCCGCGGGGCGAUCGGCCCGAGACGGCGCCCCGCGCCCCGGAUUCACCUCGCCUCGGCCGCGCGUACAUUUCCUUCCUCCACGAUCUCCAACACUGACAAAGUGGAUGAAACUGAGGUGCUGUGAAAGAGAAAAGUAACUGGGACUGAGAGAAAGAGGGGUCAGUCCCUGGAGAAGGACAUCAUACUUUGUAAAGUAGAGGGUCAGCGAAAAAGAGGAAGACCUUCAACAAGAUGGACUGACACAGUAGCUGCAACGCUGGGCUCAAACAUAGCAACAAUUUUGAGGAUGGCGCAGGACUCAGCAAUGUUUCGUUCUGUUGUACAAAGGGUCACUGAGUCAGAAGUGACUCAAUGGCACCUAACAACACAAUAUACUCUCUACCUGGUAUUUACCGUAAAGAGCAUGUAUUCUAUAAUUAAAAAAUAAAUGAAUACAUAGAGUGAGAGUGAGAAGACAGUAUCAUGAAGUUUGGUAUUCCGAAUAGUUCAAAAUGUGCAGGAGGGUAAACCUGGAAGCAGACCACAUACCUCAGGGUUAUGAGGUAGAAUCUAACUCUUUAUCUCCAGGGUUGCUUCCACAUUCCCUCAUCCUGUGUAAAAAAAACCAAAAAACAAAACCCUGUUUCUUUAAGGCUCCCGCAUUCAGUACUUCUCAUUCUCCCCCGAUCCUUCCCCUCAUUCACUGAAGGCUGACACCUGGCUCAGUCCUGCAUCUUGGGGAAUGGUAGAAUCCAUGUGAAUUCAUCACCCAGAUCUGUCAGCCCCUCAGCUCCCUAAUUUGCAGAGACCUUUCUCUCCAUUCCACUUUGUCCUACCUCUGGAUUUACCACCUCUCCAAUACUAAAUUUAAGCCCCCUACUUUGGCCACAACCUUUUUCCACCUCUCUUUUACUUUACCAUUUUUGGAUCCAUGAGACACUCUAAUCCCUUAACUCUUUCAUUUUCUCCUAAUCAGCUCCACCCUGUCUUCACCUCUUUUCCUAUCCAGCGUAGUUUCCACCUCAGCGGUCUAUCAUCUCAACCACUCUUCUGCCAAUGCCUGUUUCCUCUUCUUUUUUCCUUCCUCAAGACCCCUAUCCUUGGAUCACUUGUCUGUCCAUUUACUCCUAGGAUGUAAUUGUUGCUGAAGAAAACACCACGAUCCUUCAAAUUGGCGUCACUACAGAUGUAUAACCCAUUCCAGAGCGUGUUGCCGUUGAGUUGAUUCUGACUCAGAGACCUUACACGACAGGGUAGAACAGCCUGUAGGGUUUCCAAGGCUGUAAUCUUUAUGGAAGCAGACUGCCACAUCUUUCUUCCAAGGAGCAGCUGGUGGGUUCAAACCACCAAUCUUUUGGUUAGCAGCCAAGCACUUAACCCCUGUGCCACUGAGGCUCUUAUAUAUUGCCCAGAAACCCUUCCAUCUUUUCAGGGACUGUUUAUCAGUCAGUGAUCUCCUAACCCUCCUUUAUCUCCCAUUCAACUUGCUCCUUCCCAAUCACAUUUAUCAAAACCAAACCACACCUGUUGCCAUUGAGUUGAUUGCGACUCACAGUGGUCCUAUAGGACAUGGUAGAGCUGUCCCAUAAUGUUUCUAAGGCUGUGAUCUUAACGGAAGCAGACUGCUACUGAUCUUUCACUUAGCAGCCAAGUGCCUUACCACUGCACCACCAGGGCUCCUUCAAUAAUAUGUAAAUGUUUGUAUCUCCCUAUCUGCAGAAGAAAUCUUUUGGGCUUCUUUAGCUGCUACCCUAGCUUUCUACAUCCAUUCACAGCCAAGUUUCUUGAAAGAAUUACCUGCAUUCUCUGUCUGCUUCUUCACGUGUGCACUCGUUUUCCAGCCCUUUGACCCCACCACUCCACUGAAACUGCUUUCACCAAGAUGACCAAUAACCUCUCAUUUGGUGAAUUCAGAGGGUAUUUCUUAGCUCUUAACUUGCCCACUCCCUUCUUGAAAUAGGCUUUGCUUGGCUUCUGUGACUUCACAUUCCUGUUUUUUCUCCUCCUUAUCUGGCUUCUCCUCAGUUCCCCUUCAAGGAGGCUAUAUUGCUUGGAUUAGUGGUCAGACACUACUUAAGAGCUUGGACUCAGGAGUCAGAGAGAUCUGGGUCCAUAUCCUACCUCCACUUCUCUGGGUUUCAGUUUCCUCAAUUAAUAUGGCUAUAAGUACAAAAAAGUAAGCCUUAUUUUUGUGAAGGUUCAUAGUGUGAAGUCAAUGAAAUUAUACAUGUAAAGUCCUUAGCAUGUGUUUGACAUACAGUAAGCAAACAAAACUUCCCUGACUCUCCAAACCUAUGAGAGGCGCCCUUCCUUUGUGCUACCAUACUACCCUUUUUCUCUCAUCAGACUGUGUUUACCUUGCUCAUUAUUGUGUCAAUCCAGCAUAUUGCCAGGCACAUAUUAUUGUUGGCUGCUCCAAGUAUUUAAUAUAUGGUAAAGGUAAUAUUUUAAAUCAAUGGGGCAAAAAUGUAUCAUUGAUAAAUGAAAAAUUACUUAGGAAAAUAUGAAAAUCAGGUCCUUCGUACCAUUUACCAAAAGAGUUUCAGAUGGAUUAAAGCACUAAAUUAAAAACUCAAGAAAACUAGAAUUAAAUAUACAUGAAUAUUUUCUUGAUCUUGGAGGUAAAAAAAGGCCUUAAACAAGCAGCAACAACUAUAAAGGAAAAUAUUGAUUUACAUCAAUAAAAAAUUAUGUGAGAAAACAAAAUUAAAAGACAAACCAGGAAAAUAUUUGUACCGUUUCUGACAAACCGUUUAUUCAUUCAACAAAUAUUGUGUGUCAUGUCAGAGUUGGCGAUAAUAGAACUUGCUCUUGCUGUCUUAAGCAGAAGGGCAUUUUAUCCUGGAAAUUAAGGCUUACAAAUUUGUUGGAAGGGCCAGAGAAGUACUGUAGUCUGGGCUUCCAGGAAUGAGAACACUGUAGAACUGUCCCACUAAAGAUCUGCUGCCUACCUCUGCUGUAAUCAGAGAGCUGAUCUGGAAGGUGCUGGCUCCAGAAUAUGCCAACAUUGGGUAGGGACAGGAGUAAGGGAGUGGAAAGGAAGAUAGUGAGCUAGUGUUAGUAUUCUUGAUAAAAGAAAGAACUCAUAAAAAUCAACAAUAAAAAGAUCAACAGAAUCAAGUAAUACAAAAGUAAGUAAAUUAAAAUGUGCAAAUAAAUGAGCAAUAAAAUGAUGAUUGCUUUUUUUUCCUACUGUAGCAAACAUUUUCUCACAGUUUAGAAGUCUGAAUUCAGGGUGUCAGCUCUAGGGGAAGGUGUUCUCUCUCUGUUGGGUCUGGGGGAAGUUGCUGAUCUCUUUUGAGGCUCCAGCUCCUGGCCAGUCUUCAUGUGAUUACUAAUCUUUGUCGAGUGUCUUGUUCUGUGUCUGGGAACUAACCUAGGACUUAAUAUGCACUAACUCAGUUGACCCGUCCAAUAAUCUUAUGAUGUAGGAACAAUAAUCUCCAUCUUACAGAUGAGGAAGCAGGCAAAGGGAGGUUAAAUAAUUUGUCCAAGGUCGGAGCAGUUGAAAGGAAGAACAGGCAUUUAUGCCCAAGCUCUUUCGAUUCUCUUGUACCUCAAUGGAUUUGAUAAAGAAAAUGAGACAAUCAGGUGAUACUAUGACUCAAGAAUUGGGGUGCCAUUGCCAAAAUCAGGGGACCUGAGAAAGAAACUGACUUAAAGAGGGCAUGAUGAGUUUGUUUCUAAGUUGUUUAGCUUGAUAAAAUAGAGUCAUGUCCUUUUAGAAAUAGCUUUCUGAGCUGUGGGAGAGUCCUCUGUACCUCUAGUACCUGAUAAAGAAUCCAUAUUCCGCAAUAUAACAAACGAACAAACCCAGUGCUGUCAAGUCGAUUCCAACUCACAGUGACCCUAUAGGACAGAGUAGACCUGCCCCAUAGGGUUUCCAAGGAGAACCUGGUGGAUUCAAACUGCCAGCCAUCUGGUUAGCAGCUGAACUCUUAACCACUAAGCCACCAGGGCUUUCAUACACUGCUCUGUCUUCUCAAUUAAAGGAUCUUAUUAAUCUAGUCUGCUCAAUUGCACCUUAAAUUACUAUUGCUGCCUUUUAACUAAAUCCCUUCCCCUGCCCUGCACUAAGGGAAUACCUUAAUAAAAAGAGGAAGAUUUAAGCCCCAAAUCUUUUGUCUUUGCUUUUUCUCAGUUUCUUUUAGAUCUACUUUAAUUGACCACUAUGAUGGAGACUGAAUAUAAUAUUCCUGUACAAACUUUUGUUGCCUUUUAACAAUUUCAUGAUCUUUUUUUUUUUUUAUCAGCUAGCCAACUAGAAAUACCCUGCUUUCCAUUUAUUCUCAGGCCUCAGUUGUUCCAGCAGAAUCAUCCCGACACCCUUCCUAGCGAUUAACUAUCUUUCAGGGUAUAGAUAUGUGAUGGUAAACACUAAGCGGAAGCUGGCUUCCUCUUGCUCCUUGACCUUGGCCCUUUCACCACCUAGCUCUCCUUGCAAGGAGUGUUAUUGUAAUUUCAGACUAAAUUAGACAUAACUAGUAAGUUAAUUUUUUUAAGUUUCUGGCAUAUUCCAAAACUGUGUAAUUUCUAAAGUGUAUUUCAGAGCCAAAUAAUACAGUGUUUUAGUUUCAGAUUUCCUGUAGACCACUCCCUCCAUUAGAGAAGGAGUUUGGGCUUUGGAGUUAGACAGGUUGCGCCUGGAAUCCAAGCUCUGUUGCUUAAUAACUGUGACCCUGGGCAAG